UACAGAGGGGGCAAGCGUUGUUCGGAAUUACUGGGCGUAAAGGGCGCGUAGGCGGCCAACUAAGUCAGACGUGAAAUCCCACGGCUCAACCGUGGAACUGCGUCUGAUACUGGAUGGCUUGAAUCCGGGAGAGGGAUGUGGAAUUCCAGGUGUAGCGGUGAAAUGCGUAGAUAUCUGGAGGAACACCGGUGGCGAAGGCGGCAUCCUGGACCGGUAUUGACGCUGAGGCGCGAAAGCCAGGGGAGCAAACGGG
This 253-nucleotide ribosomal RNA is filed under the name uncultured bacterium. Its description in RNAcentral is "partial 16S ribosomal RNA". It matches the Rfam family "Bacterial small subunit ribosomal RNA", at positions 524 to 776 of the family's 1533-position model. The record is from RNAcentral.